GAUGAACGCUGGCGGCGUGCUUAACACAUGCAAGUCGAACGGAAAGGCUCCUGCUUGCAGGGGUACUCGAGUGGCGAACGGGUGAGUAACACGUGGGUGAUCUGCCCUGCACUUCGGGAUAAGCCUGGGAAACUGGGUCUAAUACCGGAUAGGACCACAUUUUGGAUGGUGUGGUGGAAAGUUUUUCGGUGUGGGAUGAGCUCGCGGCCUAUCAGCUUGUUGGUGGGGUAAUGGCCUACCAAGGCGUCGACGGGUAGCCGGCCUGAGAGGGUGUACGGCCACAUUGGGACUGAGAUACGGCCCAGACUCCUACGGGAGGCAGCAGUGGGGAAUAUCGCACAAUGGGCGCAAGCCUGAUGCAGCGACGCCGCGUGGGGGAUGACGGCCUUCGGGUUGUAAACUCCUUUCGCUAGGGACGAAGCGCAAGUGACGGUACCUGGAGAAGAAGCACCGGCUAACUACGUG
This 465-nucleotide ribosomal RNA is filed under the name uncultured bacterium. Its description in RNAcentral is "partial 16S ribosomal RNA". It matches the Rfam family "Bacterial small subunit ribosomal RNA", at positions 28 to 507 of the family's 1533-position model. The record is from RNAcentral.